This 253-nucleotide ribosomal RNA is filed under the name uncultured bacterium. RNAcentral's name for it is "partial 16S ribosomal RNA". It matches the Rfam family "Bacterial small subunit ribosomal RNA", at positions 524 to 776 of the family's 1533-position model. The record is from RNAcentral.
UACGUAGGGUGCAAGCGUUGUCCGGAAUUACUGGGCGUAAAGGGCUCGUAGGCGGUUUGUCGCGUCGGGAGUGAAAACCCAGGGCUUAACCCUGGGCUGGCUUCCGAUACGGGCAGACUAGAGGUAUGCAGGGGAGAACGGAAUUCCUGGUGUAGCGGUGAAAUGCGCAGAUAUCAGGAGGAACACCGGUGGCGAAGGCGGUUCUCUGGGCAUUACCUGACGCUGAGGAGCGAAAGUGUGGGGAGCGAACAGG